Molecule: ribosomal RNA, 439 nt
Filed under: uncultured bacterium
Lineage: Bacteria
Description: partial 16S ribosomal RNA
Rfam family: Bacterial small subunit ribosomal RNA
Source: RNAcentral
CUACGGGUUGCAGCAGUGGGGAAUAUUGGAUAAUGGGGGAAACCCUGAUCUAGCCAUGCCGCGUGAGCGACGACGGCCCUAGGGUUGUAAAGCUCUUUCAGCAGGGAAGAUAAUGACGGUACCUGCAGAAGAAGUCCCGGCUAACUCCGUGCCAGCAGCCGCGGUAAUACGGAGGGGACUAGCGGUGUUCGGAAUUACUGGGCGUAAAGCGCGCGUAGGCGGAUUGUUAAGUCGGGGGUGAAAUCCCUGGGCUCAACCCCGGAACUGCCCUCGAUACUGGCAGUCUUGAGUUCGAGAGAGGGGAGUGGAAUUCCGAGUGUAGAGGUGAAAUUCGUAGAUAUUCGGAGGAACACCAGUGGCGAAGGCGGCUCACUGGCUCGAUACUGACGCUGAGGUGCGAAAGCGUGGGGAGCAAACAGGAUUAGAUACCCCCGUAGUC